UGGGAAUAUUGGACAAUGGGCGAAAGCCUGAUCCAGCCAUGCCGCGUGAGUGAUGAAGGCCCUAGGGUUGUAAAGCUCUUUUGUGCGGGAAGAUAAUGACGGUACCGCAAGAAUAAGCCCCGGCUAACUUCGUGCCAGCAGCCGCGGUAAUACGAAGGGGGCUAGCGUUGCUCGGAAUCACUGGGCGUAAAGGGUGCGUAGGCGGGUUUCUAAGUCAGAGGUGAAAGCCUGGAGCUCAACUCCAGAACUGCCUUUGAUACUGGAAGUCUUGAGUUCGGGAGAGGUGAGUGAACUGCGAGUGUAGAGGUGAAAUUCGUAGAUAUUCGCAAGAACACCAGUGGCGAAGGCGGCUCACUGGCCCGAUACUGACGCUGAGGCACGAAAGCGUGGGGAGCAAACAGGAUUAGAUACCCUGGUAGUCCACGCCGUAAAACGAUGAAUGCCAGCCGUUAGUGGGUUUACUCACUAGUGGCGCAGCUAACGCUUUAAGCAUUCCGCCUGGGGAGUACGGUCGCAAGAUUAAAACUCAAAGGAAUUGACGGGGUCAUAGCUGUUUCCUG
RNAcentral lists this ribosomal RNA (560 nucleotides) under uncultured bacterium. Its description in RNAcentral is "partial 16S ribosomal RNA". It matches the Rfam family "Bacterial small subunit ribosomal RNA", at positions 356 to 1376 of the family's 1533-position model. The record is from RNAcentral.